This 650-nucleotide long non-coding RNA is filed under the name Homo sapiens (human). RNAcentral describes it as "long non-coding RNA NONHSAT176508.1". The record is from RNAcentral. Lineage: Eukaryota; Metazoa; Chordata; Mammalia; Primates; Hominidae.
CCUCAGCCCGUCUGUACCCAGGCGCUCAUUAGAACAGCGUGUUGCUCCACACCGCCUUGUGGUGUUUGUUACCGCGCUCUUGGGGUUCGAACCGAUACAGCAGGCUUGCAGCUAUUUCAUUGGUUUAAACUUUUAUUUUUUUAUUGCAAAUGAAAAUUACUAUCAACUAUCAUUACAAAGCUGUAGAAUAUGAAGUUCGAAGGAAAACGCUGAAUCAGUAUACAAAAGCGUCUCAAUCAGACUCAUCCAUUUUGAAGCAAUUCCUCUGCCAUUUUGCCACCUCCUCUCAAAUUCAGCGACUUACCAAUGGUGAAGUUUUCCAUAAAAGAGAAAGGGAAACAGACCUGUCUGAAGCAAGAAAGCCUGUGUGGAUGAAUAUUGCUUCCAGGAGUCACAUAAUUACAUCUAAAAUCAUAGAAUGUUAGAGCUGGAGGAAUCUUUAGAGUUUGCCCAAGGUCCUUCACCAGCAUUUUACAGAAGAUUCUUCGAUUUAACUGCUCUUAAUUACAUCCCGUUGCACUGGCCCCAUCAAGUUGCUUUAAACAGCCCUUCUAGUCAACAGAGCUGCAGAGAAAAACCUUGAGCUGUCACACUUCAUUUGUGAGAACACUCCAGAGCUUCCUCCAGCUGCUGAUUCCAAACCAGCUUCA